This 437-nucleotide ribosomal RNA is filed under the name uncultured bacterium. RNAcentral describes it as "bacterial SSU rRNA". It matches the Rfam family "Bacterial small subunit ribosomal RNA", at positions 29 to 507 of the family's 1533-position model. The record is from RNAcentral.
AACGAACGCUGGCGGCAUGCCUAACACGUGCAAGUCGAACGAAGGCUUCGGCCUUAGUGGCGCACGGGUGCGUAACGCGUGGGAACCUGCCCCUCGGUUCGGAAUAACAGUUAGAAAUAGACUGCUAAUACCGGAUGAUGACUUCGGUCCAAAGAUUUAUCGCCGAGGGAUGGGCCCGCGUAGGAUUAGCUAGUUGGUGGGGUAAAGGCCUACCAAGGCGACGAUCCUUAGCUGGUCUGAGAGGAUGAUCAGCCACACUGGGACUGAGACACGGCCCAGACUCCUACGGGAGGCAGCAGUGGGGGAAUAUUGGACAAUGGGCGAAAGCCUGAUCCAGCAAUGCCGCGUGAGUGAUGAAGGCCUUAGGGUUGUAAAGCUCUUUUACCUAGGGAGUGAUAAUGACAGUACCUGGAGAAUAAGCUCCGGCUAACUCCGUG